RNAcentral lists this ribosomal RNA (548 nucleotides) under Microcoleus vaginatus. RNAcentral describes it as "bacterial SSU rRNA". It matches the Rfam family "Bacterial small subunit ribosomal RNA", at positions 342 to 892 of the family's 1533-position model. Lineage: Bacteria; Bacillati; Cyanobacteriota; Cyanophyceae; Oscillatoriales; Microcoleaceae. The record is from RNAcentral.
CGGAGGGCAGCAGUGGGGAAUUUUCCGCAAUGGGCGAAAGCCUGACGGAGCAAGACCGCGUGGGGGAAGAAGGCUCUUGGGUUGUAAACCCCUUUUCUCUGGGAAGAAAGUUGUGAAAGCAACCUGACGGUACCAGAGGAAUCAGCAUCGGCUAACUCCGUGCCAGCAGCCGCGGUAAGACGGAGGAUGCAAGCGUUAUCCGGAAUGAUUGGGCGUAAAGCGUCCGCAGGUGGCAGUUCAAGUCUGCUGUCAAAGACCGGGGCUUAACUUCGGAAAGGCAGUGGAAACUGAACAGCUAGAGUAUGGUAGGGGCAGAGGGAAUUCCUGGUGUAGCGGUGAAAUGCGUAGAGAUCAGGAAGAACAUCGGUGGCGAAGGCGCUCUGCUGGACCAUAACUGACACUCAGGGACGAAAGCUAGGGGAGCGAAUGGGAUUAGAUACCCCAGUAGUCCUAGCCGUAAACGAUGGAUACUAGGUGUUGUCUGUAUCGACCCGGACAGUGCCGUAGCUAACGCGUUAAGUAUCCCGCCUGGGGAGUACGCACGCAGG